Molecule: ribosomal RNA, 326 nt
Filed under: uncultured bacterium
Lineage: Bacteria
Description: bacterial SSU rRNA
Rfam family: Bacterial small subunit ribosomal RNA
Source: RNAcentral
GAUGAACGCUGGCGGCGUGCCUAACACAUGCAAGUCGAGCGAAGCGAUUUAGCGGAAGUUUUCGGAUGGAAGUUAAAUUGACUGAGCGGGCGUACGGGUGAAGGUACGCGUAGGUAACCUGCCUCAUACAGGGGGAUAACAGUUAGAAAUGACUGCUAAUACCGCAUAAGCGCACAGCAUCGCAUGAUGCAGUGUGAAAAACUCCGGUGGUAUGAGAUGGACCCGCGUCUGAUUAGGUAGUUGGUGGGGUAACGGCCUACCAAGCCGACGAUCAGUAGCCGACCUGAGAGGGUGACCAGCCACAUUGGGACUGAGACACGGCCCAA